CGCCCCGGGUCUUAAUGGAGAGGUGGAGAGCUGAGCCUGGGUCCGGUGUUCUUCUUUCAAAAUUUUUUUUCGAGCUAGAGAACUUGAUGGUGAGGGGGCUCCGAGCAGUGCCUGUGUUUGUUUGAUAUAGACACGGUGCUCUCCUUCAGCUGUUUAGGCCUGAGGGCUUCGAGGAUGCUACUGAAUUUUAAAGACCUUGGAGGGCAGAAUUAGCAAGAUCUAUGCUGUCUUCAAACGAUGGGAGGUCUAACUGAAGGGUCCCAGCAUGAGUACUUGAGUGAACUUCUCGUGUAUGUCAAGACAGUCUUGGAAGAAUGAAUCUGGGGUCUUCCCUCCCAUCUGCCCUGGAAUACUGUGAAAAAAAAUGCUAUUGGAAAUUGCAAAACCUAGUGAAAUUUACCAGGAUCAAAAAUUGCUUGUAGGGAGAACUCUUACGGAAUAGGAGUCAGCUUCUA
Molecule: non-coding RNA, 455 nt
Organism: Struthio camelus australis
Lineage: Eukaryota; Metazoa; Chordata; Aves; Struthioniformes; Struthionidae
Source: RefSeq, a predicted model, not a curated record